RNAcentral lists this long non-coding RNA (252 nucleotides) under Elaeis guineensis (African oil palm). Its description in RNAcentral is "long non-coding RNA (EGUI_LNC011710)". Lineage: Eukaryota; Viridiplantae; Streptophyta; Magnoliopsida; Arecales; Arecaceae. The record is from RNAcentral.
UUGUGGCUAUUGCAGUAGCACCUCGAUUGGUAUUUAUUACUCGGGAGCUCUCACCUCCUAGAUAUGUCAAGGUCAAUUUCCAUGGCAGUGUCAAAGGUAGUAGAAGGGGCAUGAGAUUUUAUGAUCUGUGGCCCAGAUUUCAGAUUUCUAGCCAUCGAUGGUCGUCACCUCAUUGGUAGCAUGGUCCUGGUAGUUGAGUUUCGGGUAGUGUGGGUAGAUAUUACCUUUGUUAGACUGAGGUUUGGUGCUGCG